AUGAAGAUCUUCUUGGUCUUUGCCCUCCUGGUUGCCACAACGAUCAGCAUCACCGCCACUGCGCAGCUCGACCCUAGCGUCCAUGACUUAGAAAGGCCACACCAAUCAUUUCCACAACAGCAGCCACUUCCCCCGCUACAACCAUUCCCGCCGCAAGAGCCAUAACAACCAUUUCCGUUGCAGCAACCACAACACCUGCAACAACAACCACUUCCCCAACAACAUCUAUUUCCGCAGCAACCGCCACAACAACAAUUUCCACAGCAACAACAAACAUUCCCGCAACCUCAUCAACAACCACAAUUCCCGAAACAACAACCAUUUUACCAAUAUCAACAACCAUUUACACAACAACCAUAACCGAAAGAGCAACCAUUGGCACAACAACAACCUUGUGUAGAGGAAAGACAACGACUGAACUUGUGCAAGGAAUUCCUCUUGCAGCAGUGCAACCCGGAGGAGAAGGUGUCGUCACUCCAUUCGAUGAUCCCGUUCCUCUGACCAAAGACCUCGCAACAGAAUAGCUGCCAGUUGAAGCGACAAGAAUGCUGUCGCCAACUUGCACAUAUCCAUGAGCAGUCUUGAUGCCUGGCCAUCCAAAGCCCUGUGCAUGCCAUCAUCGUGCAACAACAACAACGACGACAACAACAACAGGUUGAUAGAGGUUUUGGCCAGCCUCAACCCACCACAAUUGGGCCAGGGAAUGCCCAUGCAACCUCAAUAGCCACUGGGCCAGGGCUUUAUCCUACCUCAGCAACUAGCCCAGUUUAAGUUGGUUAGGUCACUUGCGAUUCAGAUCCUGCCUAUGUUAUGCAACGUGCAUGUCCCGUCUGAUUGCUACACCAUUACUGCAUAUUUUGGUAGCAUGACUGCCUGCAGCUGUGGACAAUGAA
Molecule: ribosomal RNA, 893 nt
Filed under: Triticum aestivum (bread wheat)
Lineage: Eukaryota; Viridiplantae; Streptophyta; Magnoliopsida; Poales; Poaceae
Description: partial small subunit ribosomal RNA
Source: RNAcentral